GACGAACGCUGGCGGCGUGCUUAACACAUGCAAGUCGAACGGAAAGGCCCUGCUUGCAGGGUACUCGAGUGGCGAACGGGUGAGUAACACGUGGGUGAUCUGCCCUGCACUUCGGGAUAAGCCUGGGAAACUGGGUCUAAUACCGGAUAGGAGCCAUUUUUAGUGUGGGUGUGGGAAAGUUUUUGGGGUAGGGUGAGCUCUCGGCCUAUCAGCUUGUUGGUGGGGUAAUGGCCUACCAAGGCGGCGACGGGUAGCCGGCCUGAGAGGGUGGACGGCCACAUUGGGACUGAGAGACGGCCCAGACUCCUACGGGAGGCAGCAGUGGGGAAUAUUGCACAAUGGGCGCAAGCCUGAUGCAGCGACGCCGCGUGGGGGAUGACGGCCUUCGGGUUGUAAACUCCUUUCGCUAGGGACGAAGCUUUUUGUGACGGUACCUAGAGAAGAAGCACCGGCUAACUACGUG
This 463-nucleotide ribosomal RNA is filed under the name uncultured bacterium. Its description in RNAcentral is "partial 16S ribosomal RNA". It matches the Rfam family "Bacterial small subunit ribosomal RNA", at positions 28 to 507 of the family's 1533-position model. The record is from RNAcentral.